UACAGAGGUCUCGAGCGUUGUUCGGAUUCAUUGGGCGUAAAGGGUGCGUAGGUGGCGUGGUAAGUCUGGUGUGAAAUCCCGGGGCUCAACCCCGGAACUGCACUGGAUACUGCCAUGCUUGAGUACUGGAGAGGAGAUUGGAAUUCACGGUGUAGCAGUGAAAUGCGUAGAUAUCGUGAGGAACACCGAGGCGAAGGCGGUUACCUGGACAGUUACUGACGCUCAGGCACGAAAGCAUGGGGAGCAAAAGGG
Molecule: ribosomal RNA, 252 nt
Filed under: uncultured bacterium
Lineage: Bacteria
Description: partial 16S ribosomal RNA
Rfam family: Bacterial small subunit ribosomal RNA
Source: RNAcentral